This 253-nucleotide ribosomal RNA is filed under the name uncultured bacterium. RNAcentral describes it as "partial 16S ribosomal RNA". It matches the Rfam family "Bacterial small subunit ribosomal RNA", at positions 524 to 776 of the family's 1533-position model. The record is from RNAcentral.
UACAGAGGGUGCAAGCGUUGUUCGGAAUUAUUGGGCGUAAAGCGCGUGUAGGCGGCAUGGCAAGUCGGGUGUGAAAGCCCUCAGCUUAACUGAGGAAGUGCGCCCGAAACUGCCGUGCUUGAGUGCCGGAGAGGGUGGCGGAAUGGAUGGUGUAGCGGUGAAAUGCAUAGAUACCAUCCAGAACCCCGAUGGCGAAGGCAGCUGCCUAGACUGUAACUGACGCUGAGGCACGAAAGCGUGGGGAGCGAACAGG